RNAcentral lists this ribosomal RNA (464 nucleotides) under uncultured bacterium. RNAcentral's name for it is "partial 16S ribosomal RNA". It matches the Rfam family "Bacterial small subunit ribosomal RNA", at positions 339 to 795 of the family's 1533-position model. The record is from RNAcentral.
CUACGGGCGGCAGCAGUGGGGAAUAUUGGACAAUGGGGGAAACCCUGAUCCAGCAAUGCCGCGUAUGUGAAGAAGGCCUGCGGGUUGUAAAGCACUUUCGGUUGGGAGGACUGCUUCUAGCACUAAUAUUGUUGGAAGUUGACGUUACCUUCAGAAGAAGCACCGGCUAACUCCGUGCCAGCAGCCGCGGAAUACGGAGGGUGCAAGCGUUAAUCGGAAUUACUGGGCGUAAAGCGCGCGUAGGCGGCUAGAUCAGUCGGGUGUGAAAGCCCAGGGCUUAACCUGGGAACUGCAUCCGAUACUGUCUAGCUUGAGUACAGGAGAGGAGAGUGGAAUUCCACAUGUAGCGGUGAAAUGCGUAGAUAUGUGGAGGAACACCAAUGGCGAAGGCAGCUCUCUGGCCUGAUACUGACGCUGAGGUGCGAAAGCGUGGGGAGCAAACAGGAUUAGAUACCCUUGUAGUC